Helobdella robusta is the source of this 82-nucleotide transfer RNA. It matches the Rfam family "tRNA". From Rfam's summary of the family: Transfer RNA (tRNA) molecules are approximately 80 nucleotides in length. Their secondary structure includes four short double-helical elements and three loops (D, anti-codon, and T loops). NCBI's taxonomy places the organism in Eukaryota, Metazoa, Annelida, Clitellata, Rhynchobdellida, Glossiphoniidae. The record is from Rfam.
GCAGUCGUGGCCGAGUGGUUAAGGCGAUAGACUAGAAAUCUAUUGGGCUCUGCCCGCACAGGUUCAAAUCCUGUCGACUGCG